AAUUAAUCUAUAUAAAGUCACAAUAUUUUUUGCCAUAUAAAAUGUUACCUUUCAUUCUUAUAGCCAAACUUUAAAUCAAACUACAUUCUUCUCUUCUCAACAUCCAACCCUUUACCUUCCCACUCCUCUAAUUACAUGUAAUGUAAGGUGUAACAUUUAAUUACAAAGAUCAUAUUAAUAUUUUAUCAAUGAGUAGAUUCUAAUUAUAAUUUAUUUUUUUAAUAAUUGAAUUUAGUCACACAAAUUACCCAUACUUAAUAUGGUACAGCUUCUUAUAUAUCAAUAAGCUGUAGAUAUAAAUUUUAUUAAAAUUUUUAAAUUUUAUUAAAAUUUUUAAAAUUUAUUUUUAUUAUCCGUUCGUUGCAUCGCGCGGAUCUCUACACUAGUACGUUUAGGAAAGUAGAG
RNAcentral lists this long non-coding RNA (405 nucleotides) under Ananas comosus (pineapple). RNAcentral describes it as "long non-coding RNA (ACOM_LNC021590)". The record is from RNAcentral. Lineage: Eukaryota; Viridiplantae; Streptophyta; Magnoliopsida; Poales; Bromeliaceae.